This 498-nucleotide ribosomal RNA is filed under the name uncultured bacterium. Its description in RNAcentral is "partial 16S ribosomal RNA". It matches the Rfam family "Bacterial small subunit ribosomal RNA", at positions 28 to 507 of the family's 1533-position model. The record is from RNAcentral.
GACGAACGCUGGCGGCGUGCCUAAUACAUGCAAGUCGAGCGGACGAAUCGAAAGCUUGCUUUUGAUUCGUUAGCGGCGGACGGGUGAGUAACACGUGGGCAACCUGCCCUGUAGACGGGGAUAACACCGAGAAAUCGGUGCUAAUACCGGAUAACACGAAAUGUCGCAUGACGUUUCGUUGAAAGACGGCGUAAGCUGUCGCUACAGGAUGGGCCCGCGGCGCAUUAGCUAGUUGGUGAGGUAACGGCUCACCAAGGCGACGAUGCGUAGCCGACCUGAGAGGGUGAUCGGCCACACUGGGACUGAGACACGGCCCAGACUCCUACGGGAGGCAGCAGUAGGGAAUCUUCCGCAAUGGACGAAAGUCUGACGGAGCAACGCCGCGUGAGCGAAGAAGGCCUUCGGGUCGUAAAGCUCUGUUGUUAGGGAAGAACAAGUAACGCAGUAACUGGCGUUACCGUGACGGUACCUAACGAGAAAGCCACGGCUAACUACGUG